GCUUACGCCCAUAUCAGCCUGGGUACGCCCGAUCUCGUCUGAUCUCGGAACCUAAGCAGAGUCGGGCCUGGUUAGUACUUGGAUGGGAGACCGCCUGGGAAUACCAGGUGCUGUAAGCA
RNAcentral lists this ribosomal RNA (119 nucleotides) under Salmo salar (Atlantic salmon). Lineage: Eukaryota; Metazoa; Chordata; Actinopteri; Salmoniformes; Salmonidae. The record is from RNAcentral.